This 423-nucleotide long non-coding RNA is filed under the name Mytilus galloprovincialis (Mediterranean mussel). The record is from RNAcentral. Lineage: Eukaryota; Metazoa; Mollusca; Bivalvia; Mytilida; Mytilidae.
UAAUAUUUUAAGAUGUAUUUAAAUGAGUAGUUAUUGUUGCAAACUCCAUUAGAAAUUUGAAUUGAGAUCAGUUUUGGAAAAAGGGAAAGGGAUAUGUGAAAAAAAAGGGGGGGGGGUAAAUUUUUCUCAUUUCAGAUUUCAUAAAUAAAAAGAAAAUUUCUUCAAACAUUUUUUUGAGAGGAUUAAUAUUCAACAGCAUAGUGAAUUGCUCAAAGGAAAAAAAGUAUUUUAAAUUCAUUAGACCACAUUCAUUCUGUGUCAGAAACCUAUGCUGUGUCAACUAUUUAAUCACAAUCCAAAUUUAGAGCUGAAUCCAGCUUGAAUGUUGUGUCCAUACUUGCCCAAACCGUUCAGGGUUCAACCUCUGCGGUCGUAUAAAGCUGCGCCUUGCGGAGCAUCUGGUUAUCAAUAUUUUGUGUUUUU